UAGUCUCACCGCACUCAAGAAAUUGUAAUAGGAGGCGGUUCGACAGGAAGCUUUUGAAAUCGCAGGGCAUACACGGUAUAGUUCUUCUUCCCUCUCUCACCCAAAACCCGACCUUGUCUCUCUCAUCAUCGUCAACCCUCUCACGACCGGCGACGAAUUUCGGCGACAACCGACAACCGACAACUCAACUCGGAUGAGGUUGAAAAAGCAGAAGCGCCAUCGCAAGAGUGUCAGAUUUUACACAGCUUGCUUUGGCUUCCGAGAGCCCUUCAAGGUUCUAUGUGAUGGAACUUUUGUACAUCACCUUCUUGUCAAUCGUAUCACUCCAGCUGAUACCGCCCUCACAAAUAUACUGAGUGCUGAAGUCAAAAUCUUUACCACCAGAUGUGUUCUUGCAGAAUUAAAUAGCCUUGGUGACUCCUAUUCUGAAUCUCUUAAGGCAGCUAGGAAACUCAUGAUCGCAAGAUGUGACCAUGAGAGGAGGAAGAGUGCUGUGGCUUGCAUAAUGGAAGUUAUUGGAGAAAUCAACACUGAGCACUUUUUUGUUGCUACUCAGGAUGCUGAUUUACGGAAGAAGUUCCAGGAGGUACCAGGUGUUCCUGUGAUAUUUGGUCUACGAAAUGCCCUAUUUCUUGAGCCUCCAUCUGCUUUUCAACAGCGGUUUGUCAAAUGUGCUGAAGAAGAACGAUCACACAUGACUGAGUUGGAGUAUGAGAUGUUAAAAAUGAAGAAAAAAAAGAGGCUAGCCACCGCGGAUGCAGGGGAUUCCUUUGAUGCAAAUGAAGAUGUGGUGGAUCAGAGUUUAGGGACCCAGGUCGUCAAGGCUAAUACCGCGAGAAAGACAAUAGCUGUGAAGGACAAAGUUCAGUUUAAGAGAAAGAAAGCUAAGGGUCCGAACCCACUCUCAUGUAAGAAGAAGAAGAGUCAUGGAAACCCAAAUCCUUUUCCGGGAAAGGAAAGCGGGGAUAGUGAUGGAACUGUCAGAAGCAGGAGUAGGAAAAGGAAGAGACCACGCAAGGGCAAAAAGCUUGCAGAGGCAGCUGGUUAACAAUAUUCAGCAUAUAUGCAAAGCUUCAAAAUUUUGAUCCCGAGCUAAUAGGUAAACCUCCGGAUAUGUGUAACCGCCCGCCCACAAGCCACACUUAUCAGUUAAAUACGGAUUUGCUGCCUCAGACAGAGUUGAACACAAGACCUCUUAUGUAUGGAGCUCCUGUGUCCAGCUCCUGAACCAUUGGAGUUAGCCCGUGCGAGCUCCAUUCCAUUCCAGCAGAAUUGCCAAAGUAGAUCAAUUUUGCAGCAGUUUUGUCUAAAGUGGAGUAAUUAUGAGUGUUGGUAUUGGUCAUAUUUCGGAUUAAUAUAUAUCCAUAUGUCAUAUGAACAUGUGUGUUACACAGAGUUGAAGUAGGAGCAGGAGACCUGCAAAUCUAAAUUUUGCUUUUGAUGGGAGCUCCCCAGUGUGCACAUA
This is an RNA transcript of Cornus florida, 1465 nucleotides long. RefSeq lists it as uncharacterized. The transcript is spliced from 8 exons. Lineage: Eukaryota; Viridiplantae; Streptophyta; Magnoliopsida; Cornales; Cornaceae. The record is from RefSeq and is a predicted model, not a curated record.